RNAcentral lists this ribosomal RNA (292 nucleotides) under uncultured prokaryote. RNAcentral describes it as "partial 16S ribosomal RNA". It matches the Rfam family "Bacterial small subunit ribosomal RNA", at positions 505 to 796 of the family's 1533-position model. The record is from RNAcentral.
GUGCCAGCCGCCGCGGUAAUACGGAGGGUGCGAGCGUUAAUCGGAAUUACUGGGCGUAAAGCGCAUGCAGGUGGUUUGUUAAGUCAGAUGUGAAAGCCCGGGGCUCAACCUCGGAAUUGCAUUUGAAACUGGUUCACUAGAGUACUGUAGAGGGGGGUAGAAUUUCAGGUGUAGCGGUGAAAUGCGUAGAGAUCUGAAGGAAUACCGGUGGCGAAGGCGGCCCCCUGGACAGAUACUGACACUCAGAUGCGAAAGCGUGGGGAGCAAACAGGAUUAGAUACCCCCGUAGUCC